GGCCGCGGGAAUUCGAUUCAGGCCUAACACAUGCAAGUCGAGCGGGGAAAGGUAGCUUGCUACUUUACCUAGCGGCGGACGGGUGAGUAAUGCUUAGGAAUCUGCCUAUUAGUGGGGGACAACAUCUCGAAAGGGAUGCUAAUACCGCAUACGUCCUACGGGAGAAAGCAGGGGACCUUCGGGCCUUGCGCUAAUAGAUGAGCCUAAGUCGGAUUAGCUAGUUGGUGGGGUAAAGGCCUACCAAGGCGACGAUCUGUAGCGGGUCUGAGAGGAUGAUCCGCCACACUGGGACUGAGACACGGCCCAGACUCCUACGGGAGGCAGCAGUGGGGAAUAUUGGACAAUGGGGGGAACCCUGAUCCAGCCAGGCCGCGUGUGUGAAGAAGGCCUUUUGGUUGUAAAUCAAGGAAGCGAGGAGGAGGCUACCGAGAUUAAUACUCUUGGAUAGUGGACGUACUCGCAGA
Molecule: ribosomal RNA, 464 nt
Filed under: uncultured bacterium
Lineage: Bacteria
Description: bacterial SSU rRNA
Rfam family: Bacterial small subunit ribosomal RNA
Source: RNAcentral